GGCCGCGGGAAUUCGAUUGGCCUAACACAUGCAAGUCGAGCGGGGUUUUCGGACCUAGCGGCGGACGGGUGAGUAAUGCGUAGGAAGCUGCCCGAUAGAGGGGGAUACCAGUUGGAAACGACUGUUAAUACCGCAUAAUGUCUACGGACCAAAGUGUGGGACCUUCGGGCCACAUGCUAUCGGAUGCGCCUACGUGGGAUUAGCUAGUUGGUGAGGUAAUGGCUCACCAAGGCGACGAUCUCUAGCUGGUUUGAGAGGAUGAUCAGCCACACUGGAACUGAGACACGGUCCAGACUCCUACGGGAGGCAGCAGUGGGGAAUAUUGGACAAUGGGCGCAAGCCUGAUCCAACCAUGCCGCGUGUGUGAAGAAGGCCUUCGGGUUGUAAAGCAAUGCAGCGAGGAGGAAGGAUGGUGUGUUAAUAGCACACCAUUUUGACGUACUCGCAGAAGAG
This 453-nucleotide ribosomal RNA is filed under the name uncultured bacterium. Its description in RNAcentral is "bacterial SSU rRNA". It matches the Rfam family "Bacterial small subunit ribosomal RNA", at positions 39 to 489 of the family's 1533-position model. The record is from RNAcentral.